Molecule: ribosomal RNA, 817 nt
Filed under: Enterococcus hirae
Lineage: Bacteria; Bacillati; Bacillota; Bacilli; Lactobacillales; Enterococcaceae
Description: partial 23S ribosomal RNA
Rfam family: Bacterial large subunit ribosomal RNA
Source: RNAcentral
GGCGGAACACGAGGAAUUCCGUCGGAAUCCGGGAGGACCAUCUCCCAAGGCUAAAUACUCCCUAGUGACCGAUAGUGAACCAGUACCGUGAGGGAAAGGUGAAAAGCACCCCGGAAGGGGAGUGAAAUAGAACCUGAAACCGUGUGCCUACAACAAGUCAAAGCCCGUUAAUGGGUGAUGGCGUGCCUUUUGUAGAAUGAACCGGCGAGUUACGAUUGCAUGCGAGGUUAAGUUGAAGAGACGGAGCCGCAGCGAAAGCGAGUCUGAAUAGGGCGUUUGAGUAUGUAGUCGUAGACCCGAAACCAUGUGAUCUACCCAUGUCCAGGUUGAAGGUGCGGUAAAACGCACUGGAGGACCGAACCCACGUACGUUGAAAAGUGCGGGGAUGAGGUGUGGGUAGCGGAGAAAUUCCAAACGAACUUGGAGAUAGCUGGUUCUCUCCGAAAUAGCUUUAGGGCUAGCCUCGGAAUUGAGAAUGAUGGAGGUAGAGCACUGUUUGGACUAGGGGCCCAUCUCGGGUUACCGAAUUCAGAUAAACUCCGAAUGCCAUUCAUUCAUAUCCGGGAGUCAGACUGUGAGUGAUAAGAUCCAUAGUCGAAAGGGAAACAGCCCAGACCACCAGCUAAGGUCCCAAAAUAUAUGUUAAGUGGAAAAGGAUGUGGGGUUGCACAGACAACUAGGAUGUUGGCUUAGAAGCAGCCACCAUUUAAAGAGUGCGUAAUAGCUCACUAGUCGAGUGACCCUGCGCCGAAAAUGUACCGGGGCUAAACAUAUUACCGAAGCUGUGGAGUACACCUUUAGGUGUAUUGGUAGGAGA